GCGUGAUAGCCGCUUCCCCAAGGAACAGCGUGGGUUAUCUCACUUCUCCCACGCCUUACGUGGGAUUUCUCACAGCAGAUAUCUUUCCAUCCAGGGCAACCUGGAACCAAGUGUUUGUUUGUUUGCACAUUGUCAGAGGACUCAUCUAGUAAUCAAUGCUAACAGCUUGCCUGACAGAGAAUUGGCACUUAAAGGUGCCUGUUGAAUUUAAUCGGGAAAUCCAAAAUAGAAACACCAGUCUCUAACUCAAGAGCCAGGUCUACAAGAAAAAAACAACAAGUGGGGUAGAAGGAAAUACAAACUGAAGAGUUUAAAGCAAAAAAGAACACCAGGAAAUUUAAUUCUGAACCCAAGGCUUGUGCUGUAAAACAGAAAUUAAGGAGAGGUCUAAUCUAAAAUGGAGUAAAUGGAGGGAUGCCUUCAAGGCCCAAGAAACACUCCCACUUUGGUUCCUGGGUAGCUGGGACCACAUGAACACAUUUCCAUGCUGGACAACCUUGGCUUUAGCUUUAACUGAUUCCUUGCCAUUUUUUUCUAUGUCAGAAGAACACUUUGGGCCGUGAGAUGAUUAUCAAUAACAGUUAUUUUCACCAAUCCUCACAAUUGGAGUUCAAUCCCUGGGAUUCACAUGGUAGAAGAAGAAAAGCAAUUCCUGCAGGUCUUCCUAUGACCUCCAUAUGUGCACCAUGGCAUAUGUAGGUCACAUGUGUCUUGUCUCUAUGUAUAUGCAGGUGAAAUGUAAUUUAAAAAGAAGAAUAUCUGAGAAA
Molecule: long non-coding RNA, 767 nt
Filed under: Mus pahari (shrew mouse)
Lineage: Eukaryota; Metazoa; Chordata; Mammalia; Rodentia; Muridae
Description: lncRNA (MGP_PahariEiJ_G0003744.1)
Source: RNAcentral